Molecule: long non-coding RNA, 1875 nt
Organism: Herpailurus yagouaroundi (jaguarundi)
Lineage: Eukaryota; Metazoa; Chordata; Mammalia; Carnivora; Felidae
Exons: 3
Source: RefSeq, a predicted model, not a curated record
UUGGAGGAAUUUAGGAGAAAACAUACUGCCUAGCGUUCUCUCCAAGGACAGAAAAACCUCUUCUCUUAGCUAUAAAGUCAACUGAGUCUUUGCAAAGAAUAUUUACCCAAGGGAACUGGCUUAUGAUGCAUCUAUUUAAAAAGAGCUGAGAAAGGGUGAGGGAGGGGAUUACAUUUUGAAUAUCAACAAAAUCCCUUCGAAAUUUUCCAUUCUUCUGCUUGUAGAUACAAGUGAGUUUGCAUGGAUACAUUAUCUAGAAUCCCACAGACUCCUGCUUCUAUACAAGACCUCUGCUCACACACCCUUUUGGAAGACUGUUCCCCUCCCCACACUUUCCUGAGUCCCCAGAGGAUGUUUCCUGUGUACUUAAUAAAAAACUCCACAACUUUCAGCGGCUGGCUGUUGUUAUUUCCUCAUCUUGAUGUUCACUUCAGCCUCCAAUAUUUGCCUCUUUUCCAUGAGGCCCAAGAAUCUGCCAGAUAGGCACUGCUUGUCUGGUAAAGCCCUCAGGUGCCGAAGGAGUGAGCAAUCAUGGCUGAAUGAAGGAAAAUGAGUGGGCAUUCUAACCAACUCUGAUGAUUGCACCCUUGACUUUCAUUACAAAGAGAGCACAUAACUUUCAGAUAGUUUAAUUGAUGAACAAAACUGUUGACACAGAAGAUUCAAGCACCCUUCCUCCGUAUUAGCAAUGGAAGAGAAUAAAUAUCGUCAUAUGUUAUAUGCACCAAACAUCUCUGGAAGGAUGCGCAAAUUCAGAUUCCAGAGGCCUCUAUCUUCAGAUUAAAACUAUUGUGCACCACCAGGAAUAGAAGGGCUCAACAUUUUUCUCAAUGAGAAAAGCAUCGUCAAUUGAAGAUUGUUAACUCUGAUAAUAACACCUAACCUUAUUAAAUUACUACCACGUUCUUACUUGCAGGUACUGUGAUUCACUUUUCUCAUGCGUCAUCUCAGGUCAGCGCUCACUUCCACUGCUACAAUCCUAAAAACAGGCCAUGGGCCAAGGGUAGCCCCGUACAUGUAGGACACCUUCAAAGCCUACUGCAUGUAAUCACAACUGCCAACUGGCUGUGCAAUUUAAUGGAACUUGAAUAUACAAAGGUAACUUCGGCGGUGAGGACCAAAGAGAGUUCUAUUUAUUACUUUAUAAUUGAGAACAGAGAAGUAAGCAAAGUUGUAUGGUGCUGAGGGAUCAGAAGGAGUGGAAAUAAGAAUGAAGCUCUGGGUGGUAUAUGGUGGCUAAAGGACUUUUCAUCACAAAGAUGCCUAUGGUUUAGUUUUAAUUUGUUCAUGUGUAUGUGAUGUUACAUUUGUACUCUGAUAUACUUCAGGAAAGUCUGCUACUCACACAAAAUGACCUUGUAUAGGUAGGUGUAUGUGUAUGUUUAUUUUUGUUAGUUAAUGGUAGGGGAGGGUUGCAAUUUUUUUGGAUAUGUGAAAAAUAUGGAAAAGAUCCAAGGGUCUUUGUGUCAGUCUCAGGGUCGACACAGUCUGAGAAGAACAACAUGAGCAAAAGAGCAAGUCAAUUCAUAAAAUGAGAGCCAACUGUUGGAAGCAGGUGUCCAAAGCCAGAGGUGGCCAUGAGAACACAAGUCCCUCUGGAGCUCAUGGCAAUCUGGGAAAGGGCUAUGGUCUUCCACAUUCCAGGGAAUGGGGCUCAAAUCAAUCCUCCUUACACCUAAAGAGUUAGGGAGAACUCCAAACACCCACAAUACAUAAGUAUUUGCUUUGAACAAAACAUUUUCCCCACAGUUAUUACAGAAACCUCAAUCAAAAGAUUUGUCUAUCCAUUGCCUGUUAGAAGGCUGCAGGAAUAUAAGACUAUGCAUUGUUUAAAUCUCUUAAAAACAAGAUUUGUCUUCCCUAUAAGAACUUCAU